UACAGAGGUCUCAAGCGUUGUUCGGAUUCAUUGGGCGUAAAGGGUGCGUAGGUGGCGCUGUAAGUCGGGUGUGAAAUUUCGGAGCUUAACUCCGAAACUGCAUUCGAUACUGCCGUGCUUGAGGACUGGAGAGGAGACUGGAAUUUACGGUGUAGCGGUGAAAUGCGUAGAUAUCGUAAGGAAGACCAGUGGCGAAGGCGGGUCUCGUGGACAGUUCCUGACGCUGAGGCACGAAGGUCAGGGGAGCAAACGGG
Molecule: ribosomal RNA, 254 nt
Filed under: uncultured bacterium
Lineage: Bacteria
Description: partial 16S ribosomal RNA
Rfam family: Bacterial small subunit ribosomal RNA
Source: RNAcentral